AACGCUGGCGGCGUGCCUAAUACAUGCAAGUCGAACGGCUUUUCUAUGGAAGCUUGCUUCCACUGAGAAGAUAGUGGCGAACGGGUGAGUAACACGUGGGUAACCUGCCCAUAAGAGGGGGAUAACAUCCGGAAACGGGUGCUAAUACCGCAUAGUUUUCUUGAUCGCAUGAUCGGGAAAGGAAAGACGGCCUUUGUGCUGUCGCUUAUGGAUGGACCCGCGGCGUAUUAGUUAGUUGGUGAGGUAACGGCUCACCAAGACGAUGAUACGUAGCCGACCUGAGAGGGUGAUCGGCCACAUUGGGACUGAGACACGGCCCAAACUCCUACGGGAGGCAGCAGUAGGGAAUCUUCCGCAAUGGACGAAAGUCUGACGGAGCAACGCCGCGUGAGUGAAGAAAAGGUUUUCGGAUCGUAAAACUCUGUUGUCAGAGAAGAACAAGUUGGAGAGUAACUGCUCCAGCCUUGACGGUAUCUGACCAGAAAGCCACGGCUAACUACGUGCCAGCCGCAGC
RNAcentral lists this ribosomal RNA (514 nucleotides) under uncultured bacterium. Its description in RNAcentral is "bacterial SSU rRNA". It matches the Rfam family "Bacterial small subunit ribosomal RNA", at positions 32 to 518 of the family's 1533-position model. The record is from RNAcentral.